RNAcentral lists this unclassified non-coding RNA (253 nucleotides) under uncultured Gammaproteobacteria bacterium. RNAcentral's name for it is "contains 16S-23S intergenic spacer region". It matches the Rfam family "Bacterial small subunit ribosomal RNA", at positions 524 to 776 of the family's 1533-position model. Lineage: Bacteria; Pseudomonadati; Pseudomonadota; Gammaproteobacteria. The record is from RNAcentral.
UACAGAGGGUGCGAGCGUUAAUCGGAAUUACUGGGCGUAAAGGGCGCGUAGGCGGCCGCUUAAGUCAGUUGUGAAAUCCCAGGGCUUAACCUUGGAACUGCAAUUGAUACUGUGCGGCUAGAGCAGAAGAGAGGGGGGCGGAAUUUCCGGUGUAGCGGUGAAAUGCGUAGAUAUCGGAAGGAACACCUGUGGCGAAGGCGGCCCCCUGGCUUCAGGCUGACGCUGAGGCGCGAAAGCGUGGGUAGCGAACAGG